GGCAUUUAGAGCUGCUUUCUUUGAAAUCUCAAACCAGCCCUGUCUUCAAAUGGUUUGGGGUACUCUGUUGUACGAAUUCUCCUGCUGCUGCUUUUAAGGCAACUCCAGCUAUGGGUUCAGUGGGACAAAACAGGAAACCCUGACUAAGGAAUGAAGAAGUCCUACAAAGAGGAGGUCUCAAGUACCAAUCAGCAGCCAUUUGAUGAUGGCAGUUCCAGGGAGAAGAUGUCCAUCUAUAAGAAAGUGGUCCCUCAGCAGACACUGAAUCUGCUGGUGUCCUGAUCUUGAAUAUACCAGCCUCCAGAACUGUAACACAUGCAUGGGUGCAAAACAUGCUUCUGUGUCAUCUCACAUAGUGUGGUCAACAGAGAACACCUGGGCAGAAGAUGAGAGGCUCCUGGGGACUGGUCUGAGACAAGGUGCUGUAAAAGAAAACCUAUAUUAAAGUGGUUGGAAGUGCACAGACUGGUUGCUUCACCUGCAGCCAGAAUGCAAGACAGGUGCAAGUCAUCCCUGAGGAAGUAGUGACCAGCUGUGGAUGCUACGCUGAGGCCCUUCUUUAAGAGUGAUCUGAUGGCACUGGAUGUCUGCUGAGGCUUGUGUCUAGAAGGAAUGAAAGGAUGUGCCAACAACAGCAGUUGUCUCCUCGUUUUCAAAGCUCAGGCCUCAUGCAUCAUUUCCAUGGAUAGCUUUCUGAAAGACUGCCUAUCCACUUAGAGGUGAGGAGAAGUAAUAGGGGAGGAAACCCUGCCGAGCUGCAAAAAGUUCUAAAUCCAGUCCUUUAAUUAUCUUGCUUAAAAUUCUUUAUUGGCUCUUUGAUACCCUCAGAAUAAAGCAAACUGCUUAAACAUGA
This 853-nucleotide long non-coding RNA is filed under the name Homo sapiens (human). RNAcentral describes it as "novel transcript, antisense to PTP4A1". The record is from RNAcentral. Lineage: Eukaryota; Metazoa; Chordata; Mammalia; Primates; Hominidae.